RNAcentral lists this ribosomal RNA (513 nucleotides) under uncultured bacterium. RNAcentral's name for it is "partial 16S ribosomal RNA". It matches the Rfam family "Bacterial small subunit ribosomal RNA", at positions 28 to 523 of the family's 1533-position model. The record is from RNAcentral.
GAUGAACGCUGGCGGCGUGCCUAAUACAUGCAAGUCGAGCGAACAGACGAGGAGCUUGCUCCUUUGACGUUAGCGGCGGACGGGUGAGUAACACGUGGGUAACCUACCUAUAAGACUGGGAUAACUUCGGGAAACCGGAGCUAAUACCGGAUAAUAUUUCGAACCGCAUGGUUCGAUAGUGAAAGAUGGCUUUGCUAUCACUUAUAGAUGGACCUGCGCCGUAUUAGCUAGUUGGUAAGGUAACGGCUUACCAAGGCAACGAUACGUAGCCGACCUGAGAGGGUGAUCGGCCACACUGGAACUGAGACACGGUCCAGACUCCUACGGGAGGCAGCAGUAGGGAAUCUUCCGCAAUGGGCGAAAGCCUGACGGAGCAACGCCGCGUGAGUGAUGAAGGUCUUCGGAUCGUAAAACUCUGUUAUUAGGGAAGAACAAACGUGUAAGUAACUGUGCACGUCUUGACGGUACCUAAUCAGAAAGCCACGGCUAACUACGUGCCAGCCGCCGCAGUAA